UGAUACGGAGGGGGCUAGCGUUAUUCGGAAUUACUGGGCGUAAAGCGCACGUAGGCGGAUUGGAAAGUCAGAGGUGAAAUCCCAGGGCCCAACCUUGGAACUGCCUUUGAAACUCCCAGUCUUGAGGUCGUGAGAGGUGAGUGGAAUUCCGAGUGUAGAGGUGAAAUUCGUAGAUAUUCGGAGGAACACCAGUGGCGAAGGCGGCUCACUGGCACGAUACUGACGCUGAGGUGCGAAAGCGUGGGGAGCAAACAGG
This 256-nucleotide ribosomal RNA is filed under the name uncultured archaeon. RNAcentral's name for it is "partial 16S ribosomal RNA". It matches the Rfam family "Bacterial small subunit ribosomal RNA", at positions 521 to 776 of the family's 1533-position model. The record is from RNAcentral.